Molecule: ribosomal RNA, 449 nt
Filed under: uncultured bacterium
Lineage: Bacteria
Description: partial 16S ribosomal RNA
Rfam family: Bacterial small subunit ribosomal RNA
Source: RNAcentral
AACGCACGCUGGCGGCAUGCCUAAUACAUGCAAGUCGGACGAGAUCUUCGGAUCUAGUGGCGCACGGGUGCGUAACGCGUGGGAAUCUGCCCUUUGGUUCGGAAUAACUUCUGGAAACGGAAGCUAAUACCGGAUGAUGACGUAAGUCCAAAGAUUUAUCGCCAGAGGAUGAGCCCGCGUAGGAUUAGCUAGUUGGUGAGGUAAAGGCUCACCAAGGCUACGAUCCUUAGCUGGUCUGAGAGGAUGAUCAGCCACACUGGGACUGAGACACGGCCCAGACUCCUACGGGAGGCAGCAGUAGGGAAUAUUGGACAAUGGGCGCAAGCCUGAUCCAGCAAUGCCGCGUGAGCGAUGAAGGCCUUAGGGUUGUAAAGCUCUUUUACCCGGGAUGAUAAUGACAGUACCGGGAGAAUAAGCCCCGGCUAACUCCGUGCCAGCAGCCGCAGUAA